GAUGAAGAACGUAGCGAAAUGCGAUAAGUAAUGUGAAUUGCAGAAUUCAGUGAAUCAUCGAGUCUUUGAACGCACAUUGCGCCCCCUGGUAUUCCGGGGGGCAUGCCUGUCCGAGCGUCAUUGCUGCCCUCAAGCACGGCUUGUGUGUUGGGCCUCCGUCCUCCUCCCGGGGGACGGGCCCGAAAGGCAGCGGCGGCACCGCGUCCGGUCCUCGAGCGUAUGGGGCUUCGUCACCCGCUCUUGUAGGCCGGCCGGCGCUUGCCGACACAUCAAUCUUUUUUCCAGGUUGACCUCGGAUCAGGUAGGGAUACCCGCUGAACUUAAGCAUAUCAAUAAGCGGAGGA
This 344-nucleotide unclassified non-coding RNA is filed under the name soil metagenome. RNAcentral's name for it is "partial contains 5.8S ribosomal RNA, internal transcribed spacer 2, and large subunit ribosomal RNA". The stretch from base 1 to 120 matches the Rfam family "5.8S ribosomal RNA", at positions 35 to 154 of the family's 154-position model. The record is from RNAcentral.